Molecule: non-coding RNA, 100 nt
Organism: Chelonia mydas (Green sea turtle)
Lineage: Eukaryota; Metazoa; Chordata; Testudines; Cheloniidae
Source: the annotation of a RefSeq genome assembly
GUAGUUGUGGCCGAGUGGUUAAGGCGAUGGCUUUGAAAUCCCUUGGGGGGGUCCCUUGGGGGGGUCCCCCCCCACGCAGGUUCAAAUCCUGUCAACUACA